UAUAUUUGCAUAGAUUUUGGUUUUGAUGUAGAAAUCAUUUUACAUCAAAUUAAAAGGGAAUCUGGUUAAAUUCCAGAACUGUUCCCGCAACUGUAAGCUACUUAGCUUGUAACUAAUUCUUUAACCACUGUUUGUAUAAAUGGGAAGGUUUGUUACAAGACGCAAGUCAGGAAACCUGCCAUAAAUCACGAGUUAAA
This 197-nucleotide non-coding RNA is filed under the name Polaribacter sp. The record is from RNAcentral. Lineage: Bacteria; Pseudomonadati; Bacteroidota; Flavobacteriia; Flavobacteriales; Flavobacteriaceae.